CAGAGUAGAAAUACACGCGUAAAGUGUUCUGCGGACGGGGAGUUGCCGCAGAAACGAAAAGCUUAUCUUGCGGUGUGUGUUUCGCAUCCCGCUGU
This 95-nucleotide non-coding RNA is filed under the name human gut metagenome. RNAcentral describes it as "THF riboswitch". It matches the Rfam family "THF (Tetrahydrofolate) riboswitch aptamer". From Rfam's summary of the family: THF riboswitch presents a pseudoknot that joins P1-P2 and the loop of P3 and two THF binding. The record is from RNAcentral.